UUAAGCGACUAAGCGUACACGGUGGAUGCCCUGGCAGUCAGAGGCGAUGAAGGACGUGCUAAUCUGCGAUAAGCGUCGGUAAGGUGAUAUGAACCGUUAUAACCGGCGAUUUCCGAAUGGGGAAACCCAGUGUGUUUCGACACACUAUCAUUAACUGAAUCCAUAGGUUAAUGAGGCGAACCGGGGGAACUGAAACAUCUAAGUACCCCGAGGAAAAGAAAUCAACCGAGAUUCCCCCAGUAGCGGCGAGCGAACGGGGAGCAGCCCAGAGCCUGAAUCAGUGUGUGUGUUAGUGGAAGCGUCUGGAAAGGCGCGCGAUACAGGGUGACAGCCCCGUACACAAAAAUGCACAUAUUGUGAGCUCGAUGAGUAGGGCGGGACACGUGGUAUCCUGUCUGAAUAUGGGGGGACCAUCCUCCAAGGCUAAAUACUCCUGACUGACCGAUAGUGAACCAGUACCGUGAGGGAAAGGCGAAAAGAACCCCGGCGAGGGGAGUGAAAAAGAACCUGAAACCGUGUACGUACAAGCAGUGGGAGCACGCUUAGGCGUGUGACUGCGUACCUUUUGUAUAAUGGGUCAGCGACUUAUAUUCUGUAGCAAGGUUAACCGAAUAGGGGAGCCGAAGGGAAACCGAGUCUUAACUGGGCGUUAAGUUGCAGGGUAUAGACCCGAAACCCGGUGAUCUAGCCAUGGGCAGGUUGAAGGUUGGGUAACACUAACUGGAGGACCGAACCGACUAAUGUUGAAAAAUUAGCGGAUGACUUGUGGCUGGGGGUGAAAGGCCAAUCAAACCGGGAGAUAGCUGGUUCUCCCCGAAAGCUAUUUAGGUAGCGCCUCGUGAAUUCAUCUCCGGGGGUAGAGCACUGUUUCGGCAAGGGGGUCAUCCCGACUUACCAACCCGAUGCAAACUGCGAAUACCGGAGAAUGUUAUCACGGGAGACACACGGCGGGUGCUAACGUCCGUCGUGAAGAGGGAAACAACCCAGACCGCCAGCUAAGGUCCCAAAGUCAUGGUUAAGUGGGAAACGAUGUGGGAAGGCCCAGACAGCCAGGAUGUUGGCUUAGAAGCAGCCAUCAUUUAAAGAAAGCGUAAUAGCUCACUGGUCGAGUCGGCCUGCGCGGAAGAUGUAACGGGGCUAAACCAUGCACCGAAGCUGCGGCAGCGACGCUUAUGCGUUGUUGGGUAGGGGAGCGUUCUGUAAGCCUGUGAAGGUGUGCUGUGAGGCAUGCUGGAGGUAUCAGAAGUGCGAAUGCUGACAUAAGUAACGAUAAAGCGGGUGAAAAGCCCGCUCGCCGGAAGACCAAGGGUUCCUGUCCAACGUUAAUCGGGGCAGGGUGAGUCGACCCCUAAGGCGAGGCCGAAAGGCGUAGUCGAUGGGAAACAGGUUAAUAUUCCUGUACUUGGUGUUACUGCGAAGGGGGGACGGAGAAGGCUAUGUUGGCCGGGCGACGGUUGUCCCGGUUUAAGCGUGUAGGCUGGUUUUCCAGGCAAAUCCGGAAAAUCAAGGCUGAGGCGUGAUGACGAGGCACUACGGUGCUGAAGCAACAAAUGCCCUGCUUCCAGGAAAAGCCUCUAAGCAUCAGGUAACAUCAAAUCGUACCCCAAACCGACACAGGUGGUCAGGUAGAGAAUACCAAGGCGCUUGAGAGAACUCGGGUGAAGGAACUAGGCAAAAUGGUGCCGUAACUUCGGGAGAAGGCACGCUGAUAUGUAGGUGAAGCGACUUGCUCGUGGAGCUGAAAUCAGUCGAAGAUACCAGCUGGCUGCAACUGUUUAUUAAAAACACAGCACUGUGCAAACACGAAAGUGGACGUAUACGGUGUGACGCCUGCCCGGUGCCGGAAGGUUAAUUGAUGGGGUUAGCGCAAGCGAAGCUCUUGAUCGAAGCCCCGGUAAACGGCGGCCGUAACUAUAACGGUCCUAAGGUAGCGAAAUUCCUUGUCGGGUAAGUUCCGACCUGCACGAAUGGCGUAAUGAUGGCCAGGCUGUCUCCACCCGAGACUCAGUGAAAUUGAACUCGCUGUGAAGAUGCAGUGUACCCGCGGCAAGACGGAAAGACCCCGUGAACCUUUACUAUAGCUUGACACUGAACAUUGAGCCUUGAUGUGUAGGAUAGGUGGGAGGCUUAGAAGUGUGGACGCCAGUCUGCAUGGAGCCGACCUUGAAAUACCACCCUUUAAUGUUUGAUGUUCUAACGUUGACCCGUAAUCCGGGUUGCGGACAGUGUCUGGUGGGUAGUUUGACUGGGGCGGUCUCCUCCUAAAGAGUAACGGAGGAGCACGAAGGUUGGCUAAUCCUGGUCGGACAUCAGGAGGUUAGUGCAAUGGCAUAAGCCAGCUUGACUGCGAGCGUGACGGCGCGAGCAGGUGCGAAAGCAGGUCAUAGUGAUCCGGUGGUUCUGAAUGGAAGGGCCAUCGCUCAACGGAUAAAAGGUACUCCGGGGAUAACAGGCUGAUACCGCCCAAGAGUUCAUAUCGACGGCGGUGUUUGGCACCUCGAUGUCGGCUCAUCACAUCCUGGGGCUGAAGUAGGUCCCAAGGGUAUGGCUGUUCGCCAUUUAAAGUGGUACGCGAGCUGGGUUUAGAACGUCGUGAGACAGUUCGGUCCCUAUCUGCCGUGGGCGCUGGAGAACUGAGGGGGGCUGCUCCUAGUACGAGAGGACCGGAGUGGACGCAUCACUGGUGUUCGGGUUGUCAUGCCAAUGGCACUGCCCGGUAGCUAAAUGCGGAAGAGAUAAGUGCUGAAAGCAUCUAAGCACGAAACUUGCCCCGAGAUGAGUUCUCCCUGACCCCUUAAGAGUCCUGAAGGAACGUUGAAGACGACGACGUUGAUAGGCCGGGUGUGUAAGCGCAGCGAUGCGUUGAGCUAACCGGUACUAAUGAACCGUGAGGCUUAACCUU
RNAcentral lists this ribosomal RNA (2902 nucleotides) under Escherichia coli KTE233. Its description in RNAcentral is "bacterial LSU rRNA". It matches the Rfam family "Bacterial large subunit ribosomal RNA". Lineage: Bacteria; Pseudomonadati; Pseudomonadota; Gammaproteobacteria; Enterobacterales; Enterobacteriaceae. The record is from RNAcentral.